GAUUAACGCUGGCGGCGUGCCUAACACAUGCAAGUCGAGCGGCAGCGAGUUUUACACUGAAUUCUGGAAGCUUCUAGUUGAAAGAGAAGAUUUAUUCAAGAAUUUUGUGUAAAAUGUCGGCGAGCGGCGGACGGCUGAGUAACGCGUGGGAACGUACCCCAAAGUGAGGGAUAACGCAUCGAAAGGUGUGCUAAUACCGCAUAUGGUCUUCGGAUUAAAGCCUUCGGGCGCUUUGGGAACGGCCUGCGUAAGAUUAGAUAGUUGGUGGGGUAAUGGCCUACCAAGUCGACGAUCUUUAACUGGUUUGAGAGGAUGAUCAGUCAGACUGGAACUGAGACACGGUCCAGACUCCUACGGGAGGCAGCAGUGAGGAAUCUUCCACAAUGGGCGAAAGCCUGAUGGAGCAACGCCGCGUGCAGGAUGAAGGCCUUCGGGUUGUAAACUGCUUUUAUAAGUGAUGAUUAUGACAGUAACUUAUGAAUAAGGAUCGGCUAACUACGUGCCAGCAGCCGCGGUCAUACGUAGGAUCCGAGCGUUAUCCGGAGUGACUGGGCGUAAAGAGUUGCGUAGGUGGUUUAAUAAGCGAAUAGUGAAAUCUGGUGGCUCAACCAUUCAGACUAUUAUUCGAACUGUUGAACUCGAGAGCAGAAGAGGUAGCUGGAAUUUCUAGUGUAGGAGUGAAAUCCGUAGAUAUUAGAAGGAACACCGAUGGCGUAGGCAGGCUACUGGGCUGUUUCUGACACUGAGGCACGAAAGCGUGGGGAGCGAACCGGAUUAGAUACCCGGGUAGUCCACGCCGUAAACGAUGGAUACUAGCUGUUUGGGGUAUCGACCCCCUGAGUAGCGAAGCUAACGCGUUAAGUAUCCCGCCUGUGGAGUACGAUCGCAAGAUUAAAACAUAAAGGAAUUGACGGGGACCCGCACAAGCGGUGGAUCAUGUUCUUUAAUUCGAUGAUAACCGAUAAACCUUACCAGGUCUUGACAUCCUUGGAAUCUUUCAGAAAUGAGAGAGUGCUUUUUAAGAGCCAAGUGACAGGUGAUGCAUGGCCGUCGUCAGCUCGUGUCGUGAGAUGUUUGGUUAAGUCCAUCAACGAGCGCAACCCUUGUCAGUAGUUGUAUUUUUCUACUGAGACUGCCCCGGUAACGGGGA
Molecule: ribosomal RNA, 1150 nt
Filed under: uncultured Candidatus Saccharibacteria bacterium
Lineage: Bacteria; Candidatus Saccharimonadota
Description: bacterial SSU rRNA
Rfam family: Bacterial small subunit ribosomal RNA
Source: RNAcentral